Molecule: ribosomal RNA, 1269 nt
Filed under: Stropharia hornemannii
Lineage: Eukaryota; Fungi; Basidiomycota; Agaricomycetes; Agaricales; Strophariaceae
Description: eukaryotic LSU rRNA
Rfam family: Eukaryotic large subunit ribosomal RNA (bases 314-1269)
Source: RNAcentral
AUAAGUAAUGUGAAUUGCAGAAUUCAGUGAAUCAUCGAAUCUUUGAACGCACCUUGCGCUCCUUGGUAUUCCGAGGAGCAUGCCUGUUUGAGUGUCAUUAAAUUCUCAACCUUUAUCAACUUUUUAAGUAGAUAAAUGGCUUGGAUGUGGGGGUUGCCGGUUUCUCUUUUGAAAUCAGCUCUCCUGAAAUAUAUUAGCUGGUUGCCUUGUGUAAACCUGUCUAUUGGUGUGAUAAUUAUCUACGCCGUGGACUAUUUACCGUUUUUAAGCACUGCUUCUAACCGUCUGUUCAUUCGGACAAUCUAUGACAAUUUGACCUCAAAUCAGGUAGGACUACCCGCUGAACUUAAGCAUAUCAAUAAGCGGAGGAAAAGAAACUAACAAGGAUUCCCCUAGUAACUGCGAGUGAAGCGGGAAAAGCUCAAAUUUAAAAUCUGACGGUCUUUGGCCGUCCGAGUUGUAAUCUAGAGAAGUGUUAUCCGCGCUGGACCGUGUACAAGUUUCCUGGAAUGGAGCAUCAUAGAGGGUGAGAAUCCCGUCUUUGACACGGACUGCCAGGGCUUUGUGAUGCGCUCUCAAAGAGUCGAGUUGUUUGGGAAUGCAGCUCAAAAUGGGUGGUAAAUUCCAUCUAAAGCUAAAUAUUGGCGAGAGACCGAUAGCGAACAAGUACCGUGAGGGAAAGAUGAAAAGAACUUUGGAAAGAGAGUUAAACAGUACGUGAAAUUGCUGAAAGGGAAACGCUUGAAGUCAGUCGCAUUGUCUGAGAAUCAACCUUGCUUUUGCUGGGCUUACUUCUUAGAUGAUGGGUCAGCAUCAAUUUUGACCGUUGGAUAAAGUCUGAAGGAAUGUGGCAUCUUCGGAUGUGUUAUAGCCUUUGGUCGCAUACAACGAUUGGGAUUGAGGAACUCAGCACGCCGAAAGGCCGGGUACUUGUACCACGUUCGUGCUUAGGAUGCUGGCAUAAUGGCUUUAAUCGACCNGUCUUGAAACACGGACCAAGGAGUCUAACAUGCCUGCGAGUAUUUGGGUGGAAAACCCGAGUGCGUAAUGAAAGUGAAAGUUGAGAUCCCUGUCAUGGGGAGCAUCGACGCCCGGACCAGACCUUUUGUGACGGAUCUGCGGUAGAGCAUGUAUGUUGGGACCCGAAAGAUGGUGAACUAUGCCUGAAUAGGGUGAAGCCAGAGGAAACUCUGGUGGAGGCUCGUAGCGAUUCUGACGUGCAAAUCGAUCGUCAAAUUUGGGUAUAGGGGCGAAAGACUAAUCGAACCA